RNAcentral lists this ribosomal RNA (524 nucleotides) under uncultured bacterium. Its description in RNAcentral is "partial 16S ribosomal RNA". It matches the Rfam family "Bacterial small subunit ribosomal RNA", at positions 28 to 523 of the family's 1533-position model. The record is from RNAcentral.
GACGAACGCUGGCGGCGUGCCUAAUACAUGCAAGUCGAACGCAGGAAACUGACGGAACUCUUCGGAGGGAAGGCAGCGGAAUGAGCGGCGGACGGGUGAGUAACACGUAAGGAACCUGCCUCAAGGAUUGGGAUAACUCCGAGAAAUCGGAGCUAAUACCGGAUAGUUCAACGGACCGCAUGGUCCGCUGAUGAAAGGCGCUCCGGCGUCACCUUGAGAUGGCCUUGCGGUGCAUUAGCUAGUUGGGGGGGUAACGGCCCACCAAGGCGACGAUGCAUAGCCGACCUGAGAGGGUGAUCGGCCACACUGGGACUGAGACACGGCCCAGACUCCUACGGGAGGCAGCAGUAGGGAAUCUUCCACAAUGGACGAAAGUCUGAUGGAGCAACGCCGCGUGAGUGAUGAAGGUUUUCGGAUCGUAAAACUCUGUUGUAAGGGAAGAACACGUACGAGAGGGAAUGCUCGUACCUUGACGGUACCUUACGAGAAAGCCACGGCUAACUACGUGCCAGCAGCCGCAGUAA